Molecule: ribosomal RNA, 582 nt
Filed under: uncultured bacterium
Lineage: Bacteria
Description: partial 16S ribosomal RNA
Rfam family: Bacterial small subunit ribosomal RNA
Source: RNAcentral
UGGGGAAUUUUGGACAAUGGGCGAAAGCCUGAUCCAGCAAUGCCGCGUGUGUGAAGAAGGCCUUCGGGUUGUAAAGCACUUUUGUCCGGAAAGAAAUCCUUGGCUCUAAUGCAGUCGGGGGAUGACGGUACCGGAAGAAUAAGCACCGGCUAACUACGUGCCAGCAGCCGCGGUAAUACGUAGGGUGCAAGCGUUAAUCGGAAUUACUGGGCGUAAAGCGUGCGCAGGCGGUUUGCUAAGACCGAUGUGAAAUCCCCGGGCUCAACCUGGGAACUGCAUUGGUGACUGGCAGGCUAGAGUAUGGCAGAGGGGGGUUAGAAUUCCACGUGUAGCAGUGAAAUGCGUAGAGAUGUGGAGGAAUACCGAUGGCGAAGGCAGCCCCCUGGGCCAAUACUGACGCUCAUGCACGAAAGGCGUGGGGGAGCAAACAGGAUUAGAUACCCCUGGUAGUCCACGCCCUAAACGAUGUCAACUAGUUGUUGGGGAUUCAUUUCCUUAGUAACGUAGCUAACGCGUGAAGUUGACCGCCUGGGGAGUACGGUCGCAAGAUUAAAACUUAAAUGAAUUGACGGGGUCAUAGCU